Molecule: ribosomal RNA, 460 nt
Filed under: uncultured bacterium
Lineage: Bacteria
Description: partial 16S ribosomal RNA
Rfam family: Bacterial small subunit ribosomal RNA
Source: RNAcentral
CCUACGGGUGGCAGCAGUGAGGAAUAUUGGUCAAUGGGCGCGAGCCUGAACCAGCCAAGUAGCGUGAAGGAUGACUGCACUACGGGUUGUAAACUUCUUUUAUCAAGGAAUAAAGUGGGGCACGUGUGCCUUUUUGUAUGUACCUUAUGAAUAAGGAUCGGCUAACUCCGUGCCAGCAGCCGCGGUAAUACGGAGGUUCCGAGCGUUAUCCGGAUUUAUUGGGUUUAAAGGGAACGUAGAUGGGUUGUUAAGUCAGUUGUGAAAGUUUGCGGCUUAACCGUAAAAGUGCAAUUGAUACUGGCAGUCUUGAGUACAGUUGAGGUAGGCGGAAUUCGUGGUGUAGCGGUGAAAUGCUUAGAUAUAACGAAGAACUCCGAUUGCGAAGGCAGCUUACUAAACUGCCACUGACAUUGAUGCUCGAAAGUGUGGGUAGCAAACAGGAUUAGAUACCCCUGUAGUC